UACAGAGGGUGCAAGCGUUGCUCGGAUUUACUGGGCGUAAAGCGUACGCAGACGGUUUGGUAGGUCGGGCGUGAAAGCCCUGGGCUCAACCCAGGAAAUGCGCUCGAAACCGCCUCACUCGAGUGUAGGAGAGGAAAGCGGAAUUCCCGGUGUAGAGGUGAAAUUCGUAGAUAUCGGGAGGAACACCAGCGGCGAAGGCGGCUUUCUGGCCUAUUACUGACGUUCAGGUACGAAAGCGUGGGUAGCAAACAGG
RNAcentral lists this ribosomal RNA (253 nucleotides) under uncultured bacterium. RNAcentral describes it as "partial 16S ribosomal RNA". It matches the Rfam family "Bacterial small subunit ribosomal RNA", at positions 524 to 776 of the family's 1533-position model. The record is from RNAcentral.